Molecule: ribosomal RNA, 628 nt
Filed under: uncultured bacterium
Lineage: Bacteria
Description: bacterial SSU rRNA
Rfam family: Bacterial small subunit ribosomal RNA
Source: RNAcentral
CCUACGGGAGGCAGCAGUGGGGAAUUUUGGACAAUGGGGGCAACCCUGAUCCAGCCAUUCCGCGUGAGUGAAGAAGGCCUUCGGGUUGUAAAGCUCUUUCGCAAGGGAAGAAAACUUAUGAUCGAAUAAAUCAUGAGGUUGACGGUACCUUGAUAAGAAGCACCGGCUAACUACGUGCCAGCAGCCGCGGUAAUACGUAGGGUGCGAGCGUUAAUCGGAAUUACUGGGCGUAAAGCGUGCGCAGGCGGUUUUGUAAGUCGGAUGUGAAAUCCCCGGGCUCAACCUGGGAACUGCGUUCGAAACUGCAAGGCUAGAGUGUGUCAGAGGGGGGUAGAAUUCCACGUGUAGCAGUGAAAUGCGUAGAGAUGUGGAGGAAUACCAAUGGCGAAGGCAGCCCCCUGGGAUAACACUGACGCUCAUGCACGAAAGCGUGGGGAGCAAACAGGAUUAGAUACCCUGGUAGUCCACGCCCUAAACGAUGUCAACUAGUUGUUGGUAGAGUAAAAUCUAUGAGUAACGUAGCUAACGCGUGAAGUUGACCGCCUGGGGGAGGUACGGUCGCGAGAGUUAAACUACAAUAGAAGUAGACGGCGUGAGACGNGCCGACGGACGACGACGAGGGAGGAGG